This 1396-nucleotide ribosomal RNA is filed under the name uncultured bacterium. RNAcentral describes it as "bacterial SSU rRNA". It matches the Rfam family "Bacterial small subunit ribosomal RNA". The record is from RNAcentral.
GAGUUUGAUCCUGGCUCAGGACGAACGCUAGUGAUAGGCCUAACACAUGCAAGUCGAGGGGCAGCACAUAGAGUAGCAAUACUUUUGGUGGCGACCGGCGGAUGUGUGAGUAACACGUGUGCAACCUACCUUCUACAGUGGAAUAACCCGUUGAAAGACGGACUAAUGCCGCAUAACACAGGGGCUCCGCAUGGAGAUAUUUGUUAAAGAUUCAUCGGUAGAAGAUGGGCAUGCGUAUGAUUAGCUAGUUGGUAAGGUAACGGCUUACCAAGGCAACGAUCAUUAGGGGUUCUGAGAGGAAGGUCCCCCACACUGGUACUGAGACACGGACCAGACUCCUACGGGAGGCAGCAGUGAGGAAUAUUGGUCAAUGAGCGAGAGCUUGAACCAGCCAAGUCGCGUGAAGGAAGACUGUCCUAUGGAUUGUAAACUUCUUUUGUCAGGGAAUAAAGUUAACCACGUGUGGUUUUUUGCAUGUACCUGACGAAUAAGGAUCGGCUAACUCCGUGCCAGCAGCCGCGGUAAUACGGAGGAUCCGAGCGUUAUCCGGAUUUAUUGGGUUUAAAGGGUGCGUANGUGGACUGGUAAGUCAGUGGUGAAAGUUUGCAGCUUAACUGUAAAAUUGCCAUUGAAACUGUUGGUCUUGAGUGCAAAUGAGGUAGGCGGAAUGUGUUGUGUAGCGGUGAAAUGCUUAGAUAUGACACAGAACUCCGAUUGCGAAGGCAGCUUACUGGGAUGCCACUGACACUGAGGCACGAAAGCGUGGGUAUCANACAGGAUUAGAUACCCGGUAGUCCACGCAGUAAACGAUGAAUACUAGUUGUCUGCGAUAUACUGUAGGUGACACAGCGAAAGCGUUAAGUAUUCCACCUGGGGAGUACGUUCGCAAGAAUGAAACUCAAAGGAAUUGACGGGGGCCCGCACAAGCGGAGGAACAUGUGGUUUAAUUCGAUGAUACGCGAGGAACCUUACCCGGGCUUGAAAUGCAGAAGACCGAAGUGGAAACACUUCUUCCAGCAAUGGCUUCUGUGUAGGUGCUGCAUGGUUGUCGUCAGCUCGUGCCGUGAGGUGUCGGCUUAAGUGCCAUAACGAGCGCAACCCUUGCCGGUAGUUACAAACAGGUUAUGCUGUGGACUCUACCGGGACUGCCAUCGUAAGAUGCGAGGAAGGUGGGGAUGACGUCAAAUCAGCACGGCCCUUACGUCCGGGGCGACACACGUGUUACAAUGGGUGGUACAGCGGGUUGCUACCGGGUGACCGGAUGCCAAUCUCUUAAAUCCACUCUCAGUUCGGAUCGAAGUCUGCAACUCGACUUCGUGAAGCUGGAUUCGCUAGUAAUCGCGCAUCAGCCACGGCGCGGUGAAUACGUUCCCGGGCCUUGUACACACCGCCCGUC